AUCUGAAAUGGGGUACCAUGUUGUUCAGAGAUUGGUUGAUUUGACAUUUAUUCGGGAGAAGAAUUACAAAAGAAAAACGAAAUUAAUAAAAAUAUUAAUAUUCAUCAAGACAAAUUUGUGGAAGACGCUUUUUGUAAAAGAUGCGGAUAAAUUGGAGCAUUCUAAUGAUGAUCCGACCACCUAUUAUAUAAUUGAAAGUGACCCGAUUGUUAACAGAUAUAUCUCUUACAACAGGGAUAAAGGAAGUUUAAAUUGUGCAUCGUUCAUUGGAGGAAUCAUAGAAGCGUAGAUUUUAUGUAUAAAUGUUUAUUUCAUCUCAAGAUUGACAUCAUUCUCUAUUUUUACAGAAUGCUAAAGUGACAGUUCAUUGGCACAAAGGGACAACUUUCAUGAUAAAAUUUGGUCAAGCUGUCAUUGACCGGGAUAAGUCUAAAGAAUGAAUCUUGAUAAAAAAUUCAUCAGCAAAAUGUAAUUUUAUUGAAAACAAAAUAUAAUAUAAUCAUCAAAUAUA
Tetranychus urticae (two-spotted spider mite) is the source of this 511-nucleotide non-coding RNA. The record is from RefSeq and is a predicted model, not a curated record. NCBI's taxonomy places the organism in Eukaryota, Metazoa, Arthropoda, Arachnida, Trombidiformes, Tetranychidae.